CAAGAAUCCUUUGGUUUAUGUCAACCAAUUAAAAUCUGGUUUAACAAAAACUGGAGAGACCGCACCAUAACAGCUAUAAAAAAUCUGCAAUGCUUAUGGUGCCUUUAACAAGUCUACUUGAAUCAAUUAUCUUAUUUUGUAGUUCGUUCCUGACCGGAUGAUGAUUGCGAAUAUGUUGUAUAUAUUUCAUUGUAUAUAAUAAUAUAGUGUAUAUAAACUGAUAAG
This is a non-coding RNA of Pelobates cultripes (western spadefoot toad), 225 nucleotides long. The record is from the annotation of a GenBank genome assembly. NCBI's taxonomy places the organism in Eukaryota, Metazoa, Chordata, Amphibia, Anura, Pelobatidae.